This 253-nucleotide ribosomal RNA is filed under the name uncultured bacterium. Its description in RNAcentral is "partial 16S ribosomal RNA". It matches the Rfam family "Bacterial small subunit ribosomal RNA", at positions 524 to 776 of the family's 1533-position model. The record is from RNAcentral.
GACGGAGGAUGCAAGUGUUAUCCGGAAUCACUGGGCGUAAAGCGUCUGUAGGUGGUUUAAAAAGUCUAUUGUUAAAAAUUGAAGCUUAACUUCAAAGAUGCAAUGGAAACUUUUAAACUUGAGUAUGGUAGGGGUAGAGGGAAUUUCCAGUGGAGCGGUGAAAUGCGUAGAUAUUGGAAAGACCACCAAUGGCGAAGGCACUCUACUGGGCCAUUACUGACACUGAGAGACGAAAGCUAGGGGAGCAAACAGG